CAGCAGCCGCGGGAACACGUAGGGUGCAAGCGUUAAUCGGAAUUACUGGGCGUAAAGCGUGCGCAGGCGGUUAUAUAAGACAGAUGUGAAAUCCCCGGGCUCAACCUGGGAACUGCAUUUGUGACUGUAUAGCUAGAGUACGGCAGAGGGGGAUGGAAUUCCGCGUGUAGCAGUGAAAUGCGUAGUUAUGCGGAGGAACACCGAUGGCGAAGGCAAUCCCCUGGGCCUGUACUGACGCUCAUGCACGAAAGCGUGGGGAGCAAACAGGAUUAGAUACCCCUGUAGUCCCUGUCUCUUAUAC
Molecule: ribosomal RNA, 301 nt
Filed under: uncultured bacterium
Lineage: Bacteria
Description: partial 16S ribosomal RNA
Rfam family: Bacterial small subunit ribosomal RNA
Source: RNAcentral